RNAcentral lists this long non-coding RNA (2436 nucleotides) under Elaeis guineensis (African oil palm). Its description in RNAcentral is "long non-coding RNA (EGUI_LNC017820)". Lineage: Eukaryota; Viridiplantae; Streptophyta; Magnoliopsida; Arecales; Arecaceae. The record is from RNAcentral.
UUCUACAUUAAAAAAUUCUAGGAAGAACUUGACUUGACACUACAAUAAAGAAUUAGAUAUUCAAUAACAGAAAGUCAUAAUAAUAAACAAUAUGUCAUUCAAAGGAUUAAGAUGUCAUAACAUUGUCUGAAAUUAUACUUUGGGAGGUAUACUGCGGUGAUGAUGUCAUAAUUUAAAUUUACAUUGUCAUAAGUUAGAAAUAUAAUGUCUGUUGGUACGAGAAUCCAUACUACAUUGAGACAUUGGAAUGGACGGUGAAGUGGGUCUUCUAGGGGUGUGACCUACACAGAAGUCCUGAUCGAAGAUUGCUCUGGUGAGGACCGACCCUCUGACGCUCAAGUUAGUAUUAGAAAAUGCCAUCACAUGACGAUCUGGUAUGUAUGUAGAGAUUUUAAAAAAAAAUUAAUACACAGUGGAAGAGAAUUUUAAAAUUUUUCAACAUCGUUAUAGGACAAUCAUGCAACAUAAUGUAUCAACAUUAUGCUAGAACAAUCUUAUGUCUGAUGAUGUUAAAAUAAAUCUCUAAUUAGAUCUAUUCUAAUGAAGCAUGCAUAAGAGAUCAUAUCUCAACAUAAAGCCAGAUAUCAUCAUAUGUAUAAGAUUAAGAUUUAAAUAAAAAUAAAAAUUUAAUUUUUAUCUUUGCACAGAUAGAUCUUCACCAUGAUCCAAUGAUUCGUGGAUAUCUUUAUGAUCUGUUAAAAUCAUGAUCUGAUAAUCUAUGGAUGUUUUCGAGGUUCUUUUGAAGCCAUACAAGUGUCCGACCUCUACAGAUAUCUAUACGAGGUUGAUCUGAUCAAAAGAUCUUGAUCUCAUCGGAGUGCUAGCUCCCUUACCGAGAUUGCUUCUUGCAUUAUCGAAUCUUUUAUCUCUUUUGAUUCUCUUCUUAAGAGAAUCAAAGAGAUCUAUAGGAGGAUCAAGAAAUCAGAUCUAAUUUGAUUUCUUUUUCCUUUCUCUUCUUAAGAGAAAGAAGAAAUUCUAAAGAAAAAGAACAAAAGAUCCAAUCUCUUUUCUUUUCUUUUUCAUCCAACUCUUAGACUGAUUAUGGAGGAGAAGGAAUCAAGAGAUCAAAUCUCUUUUCUUUUUAUCCAACUCUUGAACAUCUGUAGAAAAGAGGGAGAGAGACAAGGCAUGUCCAACUCUUGGAUAAACAAAGAGAGAGGAAGAGAUCCAUUAACAACCAACUCUUGGUUGUUAGAAAGAAAGGAUGAGGCAUCAAAAUCGCAUGCCUUCUUCUGUUUUGUGCAUGAACUCUUCACGCCAACCACUCCAUAUGCCAUGCCUUAGUCUCUCAAAAUAUUCAUCAUGAGAUAUCUUAUAAGGAGGCACCCUUUUAUAUCUAAAUUCUAGGAUUUGGUUAAGAGCUCACCAAGAGGACUCUUGGUGCUGCCUCCCUUAUUUCAGCGCCAUAAUUUCUCCACACAAAGCCAUAGAAAAAACAUAGUUGGGUGUCCCAUAUUACAUAUGGAAAGGAGAAGAGAAUCCCAGUCCAAUGGGACUCUAGUUUUCUAAUUCCAUUCUAAUCCGAUUUGAAUUCGAUUCGAAUCUAAAUUGAGUCAAACCCAAUUAGGAAUUAAGUCAAAAUUUUAUUUAGACUAGAAAACUUAAAUUAAAUCAAAUCCAAUCAGAUCCAAUCUGAUUUAAUUCAAUCCAUAUUUGAUUAAAUCAAAUAAUUAAUAAUAUUUAUAAAUUAGUCCUCCUAUAACUUAAUACUCUUAGUAAGUCUUUCAUGUAACUUUUACAUGUUAAUCUAAUCAUCAAUCAAAUUGAUAAUCGAAUUCUUUUGCGAUUCAAAAUUGCUAUUCGAUAUUUCGAUCAGUCAGGAUCUCUUUUGUAUAUGAUUUCGUAGAUUCUAUUUUAUCUACUAGUGAGAUAUAUUUUGAUUUCCAUCAAAAUAUCAUUGAAACUUCUUUUAAUAGAUUGAAAUAAUUUUAACUCUGUCCAUCAAGGAUCAUGAUUAUCAAGAUGAUGCUCGAUGAGUCUCACAUUCCAUCAAUGAUAUCUAAUAGUAAGUAGUGACAAUUCAAUAGAAUGGAGAGUAAUGAACCUAUAGAUGUAGUUAUCAUGUAAUUCAGUUCUUUUAUUGUGAGUCUCGACAAGAUGGAGGUUAUGAAAAACUCGUCAAACUCCAUCAUUUAUCAUAUGUAAGAUUGGAUCGCCUUGAAUUCAUUCAUAAAUUUUCAUAAAUUUUUUUUCAAUAUUCACACUUGCUUUGAUCAAAGACUUCUUGAACUCAAUCUCAUGAAUCACAUAGGAUCUUUUCUUUUCUACUAAGAUCGAUAGAUCCCAUCUAAGUGUACACUCUAUUUCUAUAAUGAACCUACUAUAGCCAACAUACACUUCAAGACUCCGUAUGGCUAGAAGAUCGAGUUAUGAUUUAGUCAGACUAUAGCAACUUCAUUGUGAACAGUCGAAGUACUGCAGAUCAAAGAAUCACUC